RNAcentral lists this ribosomal RNA (253 nucleotides) under uncultured bacterium. RNAcentral describes it as "partial 16S ribosomal RNA". It matches the Rfam family "Bacterial small subunit ribosomal RNA", at positions 524 to 776 of the family's 1533-position model. The record is from RNAcentral.
UACGUAGGGUGCGAGCGUUAAUCGGAAUUACUGGGCGUAAAGUGUGCGCAGGCGGCCGCGCAAGUCGAGUGUGAAAGCCCCGAGCUUAACUUGGGAAUUGCGCUCGAAACUACGUGGCUGGAGUGUGGCAGAGGAAGGUGGAAUUCCAGGUGUAGCGGUGAAAUGCGCAGAUAUCAGGAGGAACACCGAUGGCGAAGGCAGGUCUCUGGGCCACUACUGACGCUGAGAAGCGAAAGCAUGGGGAGCGAACAGG